AGUGAACGCUGGCGGUAGGCCUAACACAUGCAAGUCGAACGGCAGCACAGUAAGAGCUUGCUCUUACGGGUGGCGAGUGGCGGACGGGUGAGGAAUACAUCGGAAUCUACUUUUUCGUGGGGGAUAACGUAGGGAAACUUACGCUAAUACCGCAUACGACCUACGGGUGAAAGCAGGGGAUCUUCGGACCUUGCGCGAUUGAUUGAGCCGAUGUCGGAUUAGCUAGUUGGUGGGGUAAAGGCCCACCAAGGCGACGAUCCGUAGCUGGUCUGAGAGGAUGAUCAGCCACACUGGAACUGAGACACGGUCCAGACUCCUACGGGAGGCAGCAGUGGGGAAUAUUGGACAAUGGGCGCAAGCCUGAUCCAGCCAUACCGCGUGGGUGAAGAAGGCCUUCGGGUUGUAAAGCCCUUUUGUUGGGAAAGAAAAGCAGCAGGUUAAUACCCCGCUGUUCUGACGGUACCCAAAGAAUAAGCACCGGCUAACUUCGUG
Molecule: ribosomal RNA, 492 nt
Filed under: uncultured bacterium
Lineage: Bacteria
Description: partial 16S ribosomal RNA
Rfam family: Bacterial small subunit ribosomal RNA
Source: RNAcentral